Molecule: long non-coding RNA, 2832 nt
Filed under: Fragaria vesca (wild strawberry)
Lineage: Eukaryota; Viridiplantae; Streptophyta; Magnoliopsida; Rosales; Rosaceae
Description: long non-coding RNA (FVES_LNC003512)
Source: RNAcentral
UUUGUGUCAAACUUUCAAAUAGAAAAUGAAGGACGUCGUUGAGAUCAGAAUAUUAUUAGAACCUAGCUAUUAGUAGAUCUGAACAUUUGAUUGGCAUAUAUGGUGUUGUUUGCCAGAAAAAUCGAGAUGAAGAUAUUUCUUCCAUGUAGAGUUGCUUCAAAAAUAAUAAGCAACUACAAUGGUGACAAGAGCAGCACGCUGGUGUUGAUUAAUAAAUAAUAAGUAAUUUAGUGAGGUCCAUUACCAUAAUUGUUACUUCUGCUAUAUAAAUUAAGGGUAAAUUAUCAUCAAGCAAGGUUUUCAUAAGUCGUUCUUUCCCUAUUGAGAUUGUCGACAAGAUUUACUAUUGUCAAACAAGAACAGGGGCGGAUCCAAGUUAUAACAACCUGGGACUCAAGUCCCACCCAAAUAUUUUGAAGAAAAAAAUUACUUGCAUAUAGGUGUCUUGCUUUCUCUUUAUCAUAUCUUGAUUGCAAGGUUUUUGUCCAGCCCAAGUCCCACUUUAGCCCACUCCAGUUGCCCAACUAAUGUUUCAUUUAUUUUUUUUGUUGUUUUUUUUUUAUUAAUUUUUUUUUUUUUNNNNNNNNNNNNNNNNNNNNAGAAAGAUAAAGAAUACAGAUCGACAAGGAAGAUGAAACAGUUGGAGUGAAGGAAUACUUGAUAUGUUUUAUUCUCUUUUUUUUUAAUUUAAACGAAGAAGAUGAAAAUAAUUAGUUAACAGUGUUGAUCUCUGUUAAGUUGGAAGACAAAUGUCAUGAUAUGAGGGUUGGCACAAGCAGGGCGGAUCCAAGUUAUAACAACCUGGGACUCAAGUCCCACCCAAAUAUUUUGAAGAAAAAAUUACUUGCAUAUAGGUGUCUUGCUUUCUCUUUAUCAUAUCUUGAUUGCAAGGUUUUUGUCCAGCCUAAGUCCCACUUUAGCCCACUCCAGUUGCCCAACUAAUGUUUCAUUUUGUUUUUUUUGUUUGUUUUUUUUUAUUUAAUUUUUUUGUUUUUUUUUUUUUAUUAAAAAGAGGGAUCCCUAUUCAAAAAAAUAAAAUAAAAAGAGGGAUAAAUCAACCACAUAGAAAAGAAGUAAAGUCUAAAACUUUAGACCAAAGAAGAAGUCCAAAACUCGUCUCUCUCUUGGGGUUGAGUGAUUGAAUUAACACUAAAUUUCAUCCUUUUUUCUGACCCUUUCAAGCCUGAAGGUAGUUCCAUCCCUGAUUAGUCUUCAUCACAUAUGUAAAUAUUUAGUGAGAUGCAUUACAUCUAUAUAUUUUGAAUUACAUUGACAUGUUAUUUAGCUUCUUUUAUGUUACAUAUACAGAGUUUACAUAUGUUGUUUUGUAUAAGCAUGCAUUCAAGGGGCAAGACUCGUUAUGGCCCUUUGUCUGUGUGCAUACUUUUUCUCUCACGUGCCGUCGAACAUUUUUUUUNNNNNNNNNNNNNNNNNNNNCAAGUCCCACCCGGUUUGAAUUCCUGGAUCCGCCCCUGAACAAGAAAAUAAUCAUUUUGAGCAAGUUGGGUUGCAACUUUGCAACUUGCAAACAAGUACGUAAUGCUUCUCUACUUAGCUGCAUUCCUGCAUCGUUUUUCCUGUAAAAUGGAGUUUUCCAGCUUCUCCUUUUUCUGUUGUUCUUGCUGUUCUGAGUGUUCUCAAUGAAGGUUCUUAAUUUUGUCAACAGCAAAAACGAAAAAAAAAAAAAGCUAGUAAAACUAGCUCAAUAAUGUACGUAGUUUCCUACGUACUAAUUGGUAUUGUAAUACGUACACUAGGAAGGUUUUGUGAAAGAUACUCAAUGCAAACAAUAUUACUACGCUAUUUAAGAUUCCUACGAUUUAUAUCUCAUUCAAUCAAUUUAGUGAGCAUAGCUUUUUUAGUUUCUUUUACUUUCCUACCGCGGUUUGUCUUUUACAAUGAUCCAAUAUUUACUUAAAUUAUCAAAAUAAAAAAAGUACUUAAACUAUCCCUUAAAAUAUGUCCUGAACAUUUUGAAAGUUCAUCCAUCAUUCAUAUAAUACACUAUUUUUCCAAUUUUGUAGGUAUCCAUGCAUCUGUCUUAUAAUAGAGCAUUAUAACUAUGCAGUUUAUAGCCUAUCAAUGGAAUGGAAUAAUCUGGUUAACUAACUUGUCUUACUCUCUGUACUUAAUUAGCUCCAAGUAAUAAUGGUUCACAUAAGUCUAUCAUUUGUAUUUUAAUUAGAAACAUCAAAGCACCAAUGAGCUAGACUAGGAGGGUUUGUUUAAUAUGGUAAGAGUCAAAUGAUUACACGAUAUAGGUGGUCCGUGAGCCGUGGUUUGGUUGAUUAAGGUGUUUAACUAACAACUUUGAGAUCACGGGUUCAAACCUCAUGGACAUAUGUAUGAGUUAUUAAUAAAACGUUUUUAAAAAAAAUAAAAAAUUACACGAUAUAGGCCUACUAAAACAAAUUAGCAAAGUGUAGUUUAGGUAGUCCAUCUCUAUCAUUUAGGCUUUUGAAAAUCAUGAUAUAUAGUUUCUCAUUUUCCUCAAGAACAACAAUUCAAAGUUGAUUUAGUUUCUCCUCAAAAAAAUUCAAAGUUGAUUUAGUUCAAAUCAGGAUUAAAAUACAGAUUUCAUACUGGAUACAUUGCACAAAUUAAGCUGGAUUAUAGUCCAAGACACAAGCUUCAGCCACUUACAUAUGCUAAUUGGUUAACUAAGAAUCAAUUAUAAACUAAUUUUUUUAGCUCGAACUUUUGUUUAGAACUUAUAUCGAAAGUUUUAAUAGUAAAAAUCCUCUCUAUAUGUGUGUGUGUGUGUGUUCUUUUAAGUUGUAAAGUUAUAGGAGAUUACCAACCCUUCUCAUUUCUUUAAUUUUCGAACUAGAG